GGAUGUGAGGGUGACCUGGUUGCAACAUCUGUCACCCCAGUGAUCGCCAGAGUUGACUCAGCUGAUCUGGCUGGCUAGGGGUGUGUCCCCUUCCCCCCUCCCCGCUCCAUGUGUGUCCCUCCUGAAGCUGUGCUUCCUUGAGUAGAGAGGACAGGUCUUUGGUUGAGGGUGUACGAGUAGCUGCACUCCCCUGCUAGGACCUCCAAACAAGCUCUCGCGAAGACUCAGCUGGCACCAGAGUCUGUGGCCCCCCGGGGACAAGCAAAGGUCCCAGAGGGUGGAUUCAACAAAGAAAGAGGCAGCACGCCCUGUGCUCCCCAGCUCCUU
This 327-nucleotide small nuclear RNA is filed under the name Erinaceus europaeus (western European hedgehog). RNAcentral's name for it is "7SK RNA". The stretch from base 1 to 277 matches the Rfam family "7SK RNA". From Rfam's summary of the family: 7SK was discovered as an abundant small nuclear RNA in the mid-70s but a possible function has only recently been suggested. Two independent studies have found that 7SK RNA binds the CDK9/cyclin T complex (known as elongation factor P-TEFb). The record is from Rfam by way of RNAcentral. Lineage: Eukaryota; Metazoa; Chordata; Mammalia; Eulipotyphla; Erinaceidae.